UGUGAAACAUGGUACUUGGUGCUUACUUGGAAGAAUGACCUCAUUCUGUGUGUCUGUUUGAUUGUCUAAGUGACCCUCAGAGGUGGUGAAUUUCAAUGAUUUUAAAUGUGCUAGCCAGGUAUGCCCUGGGUUACUCUGUGUGAGUAUUUUGUUAUGGGAUCACUAGGUAAUAUUUGUCGGACCGUUCUGUGUGAGCGGGGUAGGUUGACUCUGUGUGAGUACCUAUCAAGUAUGUUCUGAUGUUCUGUGUGAACGUCUGACCAGUUCUGUGUGAACAUCUGACCAAUCCUGUGUGGGGGAUCCUUAAAGUUCUGUGUGAGUACCUAAGAUUUUCUUACGUUUUAUAUGGAUUCUGUGAAUUAUUUUGAAAUUAUGAUAAAUUGUAUGUGUGUAUAAUCAAUUACUAGAGAUUUGAUAAAGUAAUGCUGAGAAUAAAAUUAGAUACAAUUUAAACCACCCAUUCGUAGACGUACGUAGGUUGAGUUGGUAUCUUUAAUGGAGAAUUUAAUAAAGAUGAGGGUUUAAGCACUAUUAAACUAGUCUACAAAAUCUGGGAAAUUGAGCUCUAGAAACUGAUUAGAGUGUGUCCAUUUUUGGUUAUCUUACCCUAACGAUGUAACUAUAAAACGCAUAUUGAUUAUCUUCAUCUGGGUACAACAUUUGAAAUAAAACUGCCCUUAAGGUCUGAAAAUUGUAUAUUUUUUCUUCCCAGUAUGAGAGGAGUUGCGGGAUUUAAUGAAUAAACUGUUUUCCAUAAAGUUAGAGAGAAUUUGAGGGAAUCUCGACAUAAUUUAUAAUGUCGUACAAAGCCUAAGGUUUUCCAUCGAACUAAUGAUCAUUGCGUGAUUAAUUGCCGAUAGUGAGGUGUCUUGAUUUUACAAUUACAGACAAUUGUAAAGUGGGUUUAUUUGCGAAGAAUCUUAGUAAUUUACAUUGCGUUGGUCGUAUAGUGGUGAGCAUAGCUGCCUUCCAAGCUGGAGUCCCGGGUUCGGUUCCCAGUCAAUGCGCUAACUAAAAAUCUGAGUUUUUGAUUGUAAUUAAACUAUUUGUAUGUUUUGCCUGGAAAGUUGUGGUCGCUAGUGUUUGUAUAAGAUAUAAACUUAAUGUUUUAAUAGCUUGUUUGGUUCAAAUUGACAGAAGGGAUAAAUUGAACUUUUUAAUAGAUUGUUUAGGUUAAAUUGAUAGACUAAUUCAUUCAACUUAAAAUAAUAACGAAGCUAAUUUUGAUGCAAGACGAUGUCUGUUCACUAAAUAAUCUGCUGAAAUAAUGUAUUGAGAAUUGAGUCGUAUUUAAAUUACAGUACCAAUAGAGGAGACAGUUGCCUAAAUUAAAGAAAUUCUAAAUAAAAGCGGAGAGAUAAUGGCAAUAGAAAGUGAUUUCCCAAAUGUUUUUCAUUCUUAUAGAUUGACUGACACAACCCUAACCCUAACCCUGUGUGUGUUAUUUUUUAAAGUUUUGGACAUUUCAUAAGUUUGAAGAGGAAAAAGAAGAGGAGGUUAUAAAGUUUGGUUUUAGUCUUACAUAGAGGUGAUCAUGAAAAGUGACAUCAGACGGUAUCUUAAUGCAUGGAAGAGAUAAUUGGACCGAAUAGAGUGUGUACCUCAAAACCCCCUCUAACUGACUGAAGAAGAGUGACAAAGGCGUUGAAUAAGGCCCUUCCAAACCACUUCUACCGAGAGAAAGGAACCAAGCCAGAAAUCGGUGUACAGUAUCAGAUCUAAGCUAUUAACUGCUUUUCUUUCAUGCUUCUCUCAGUCCACAUGGAGUGAUCAUGGAGAGAGAUCUGUUCUAACCUUUUCUUAUGGUACUGGUAUAUUGGUUGACGAAUGGACAAGACAUGAGUGGUAAAGAUGAGACAUUGAAAUUGGAACAUUAUCAUGGGCCAUCCACUUUGAACUGUAAAGCUAUCUGAAGAAGAACAAAAAGGACACCAGAAGAAUCAGUGCCUGAGGGGGGGGGGGGUUGGUCAACUGUGCCAAUCAUUUUUUUUAUACUUUUGUGGUAUCAGGUUGAUUGUAGAGGUCUACACCAUGUAAAAUUAUAGUAAUUUAGAUUACGAAUGCAUUGAGAUACUGAUCUGUAUUAUAAUGAUGAUUAAAAAAGUUAAUGGUAGAAUUAUGAGAUAAUUAUUUUGAAUGAAUGUAAAAUCUGCUAAUAUUGAUGUGUGCUAAAUUGAGGUUUUUACUUUGAGUCACUGAGGAAUGUCAUUCUAAAUUUUGGUUGGAUAAAUAGUUGGGUUGUUAAUUAUGAUUUGGAAUAUGAAUGAUUUUACAUUUGAAGAACUACAUGGAGUACUGUCUGGUGUGGUCCCACCGUCUCAGACCCCAGAGCUUGAGCAGGGUAUUUUAGUUUUUGAAGGAGCGGGAGUGUAUAUAUUUUAUAUUUUGUAGUGUGUGUGAAUUAAUGUUAAUUUCCCUUUCCCGUAUGGUUAUUAUUUUACCCCUGUCCAGUACAUAUUUUGAGUAUACUGCCCUACCAAGCAAACAGGCAGUAAUUGCUCAUUUGGUCGAAAAUGACUUAGUUAUUUUUGCUACAUUAAAUGCAUGCUUAAUCAUGUGGGCACGUA
Long non-coding RNA from Oncorhynchus masou masou (cherry salmon), 2567 nucleotides. RefSeq lists it as uncharacterized. The transcript has 2 exons. The record is from RefSeq and is a predicted model, not a curated record. Lineage: Eukaryota; Metazoa; Chordata; Actinopteri; Salmoniformes; Salmonidae.